GAACAAUUCUUUCUGAUGCCAUGAUCAUAUGGGUUUCUAAAGCGACCACCUGGGCCUCUAAGAUAGCUAUAACGCAUUGCAUUUGCCAUUUCAUUUGUUGUUAUAUUGCGAGAUAUCUGAGAAGCUUGCACAACAGUUAAUACUGCCACACCAAAGAACAGGGAAAAAUCCACAAAAAGAAAGGAAAUAGCACCAGUAUGAUGUGUCCCAACAUGGUUUAUCCACGCUCCAAAUGUAGAGGGAGCUGCAGGAUCAGUUAGAACUCUUGUAAGAGCCACUGCACCAGCAAUCAACAUUGCCAAAACUUCUAGAACAAGAAACACAAAGAAAUCCCAUUUGUUUUUCUUGCCAAUGCAAUUAGAUACCCAGGGGCAAUGAUGAUCAAAUUGUUCAACACAACGGUCGCAGGUGGAACAGUGCUUUGCACGAAGUGGUCUAACAAUCUUGCAUGUUGCACAGAGUUGAGUCCAAUUUCCAGCUAGCAAAGCAGGAUUAUUUAUCUCGAUCUUCAAAAGAGGUUCAUCAUCUUUCAUGCUUUGUGGAUCAUGCACAUUCAUUCUAAUGAAACCUGGAUCCUUCCUGCUACACCUAUAAAACAUAAAAAGUCCAGCAGUUGCUAGGAAAACACCCAACCAGGCAAGAAGGCCAAAGCCUGCUGUUAGCCUUGGUAGAUUAGAAUCCAUUAUGACAGAAUGAAUAUAGGUCACCAAGAGUAGUAGUAUUAUAGACCAAAGUACAGGAGCAAGUCCCAACUUUGAGAGACGUCCCAGGCGGCU
RNAcentral lists this unclassified non-coding RNA (776 nucleotides) under Hevea brasiliensis (rubber tree). Lineage: Eukaryota; Viridiplantae; Streptophyta; Magnoliopsida; Malpighiales; Euphorbiaceae. The record is from RNAcentral.